Long non-coding RNA from Symphalangus syndactylus (siamang), 269 nucleotides. RefSeq lists it as uncharacterized. NCBI's taxonomy places the organism in Eukaryota, Metazoa, Chordata, Mammalia, Primates, Hylobatidae. The record is from RefSeq and is a predicted model, not a curated record.
UGAGGAUGUAUGUCUUCUUCAAAUGGGAUAGUUCCCUUGACCCCUUUGCAGAACUUGCAAAGAUGUUCACCUGUUUACUCAGCCUGCAGCUCUCAACCCCUUGUGGGAUGGGGGAGCACACAGCAGCCAUCUGAAAAUCAUGAGGAAAUGAUCAAAAGAACCCCAGAGAUUUCAGUCCUGACUGCACAGAGCCACUGGAUCAGCAACAGCAGUAAUCGCCCACCUCGACUUCCUGUUAAGUUAGAAAAAUAAAUCUUGAUUUGUUUAGA